RNAcentral lists this ribosomal RNA (142 nucleotides) under uncultured eukaryote. RNAcentral's name for it is "partial 18S ribosomal RNA". It matches the Rfam family "Eukaryotic small subunit ribosomal RNA", at positions 1299 to 1453 of the family's 1831-position model. The record is from RNAcentral.
UGGUGGAGUGAUUUGUAUGGUUAAUUCCGUUAACAAAUGAGACCCAUGCCUGCUAACUAGGUGACAGAGUGAAUUUUCACUUUUGAAUCUUCUUAGAGGGAUGUGCAUUUUUUAGUAUGCAGGAGGAUAGGGGAAAGUAACA